AAUCAACGCUGGCGGCGUGCCUCAGACAUGCAAGUCGAACGAUUAAAGCUCCCUUCGGGGGAGUGCAUAGAGUGGCGCACGGGUGAGUAACACGUAAGUAAUCUACCCUCGGGUGGGGAAUAACGUUCGGAAACGGACGCUAAUACCGCAUAAUGCAGCGGCACCGCAAGGUGACAGUUGUUAAAGAUUUAUUGCCUGGGGAGGAGCUUGCGGCAGAUUAGCUUGUUGGUAAGGAACGGCUUACCAAGGCUACGAUCUGUAUCCGGUCUAAGAGGACGGUCGGACACACUGACACUGAAUAACGGGUCAGACUCCUACGGGAGGCAGCAGUCGGGAAUUUUGGGCAAUGGGGGAAACCCUGACCCAGCAACGCCGCGUGAAGGAU
Molecule: ribosomal RNA, 385 nt
Filed under: uncultured bacterium
Lineage: Bacteria
Description: bacterial SSU rRNA
Rfam family: Bacterial small subunit ribosomal RNA
Source: RNAcentral